RNAcentral lists this ribosomal RNA (491 nucleotides) under uncultured bacterium. RNAcentral's name for it is "bacterial SSU rRNA". It matches the Rfam family "Bacterial small subunit ribosomal RNA", at positions 28 to 523 of the family's 1533-position model. The record is from RNAcentral.
GAUGAACGCUAGCGGGAGGCUUAACACAUGCAAGUCGAGGGGUAAAUGGUAGCAAUACUAUGAGACCGGCGGACGGGUGCGUAACGCGUAUGCAACAUACCUUGUGCAGGGGGAUAGCCCGUGGAAACGCGGAUUAAUAUUCCAUAGUCCAGCUAUAUCGCAUGGUAUAGUUGGUAAAGAUUUAUCGGCACAAGUUUGGCAUGCGUCUGAUUAGCUUGUUGGUAGGGUAACGGCCUACCAAGGCUACGAUCAGUAGGGGUUCUGAGAGGAUUAACCCCCACACUGGUACUGAGACACGGACCAGACUCCUACGGGAGCAGCAGUGAGGAUAUUGGUCAAUGGGCGCAAGCCUGAACCAGCCAUCCCGCGUGAAGGAGAAUGCGCUACGCGUUGUAAACUUCUUUUCCAGGGGGAAAUAAUCCUGUCGUGACAGGACUUGACGGUACUCUGGGAAUAAGCAUCGGCUAACUCCGUGCCAGCAGCCGCGGUAA